AUUGAACGCUGGCGGCAUGCCUUACACAUGCAAGUCGAACGGUAACAGGUCUUCGGAUGCUGACGAGUGGCGAACGGGUGAGUAAUACAUCGGAACGUGCCUAGUAGUGGGGGAUAACUACUCGAAAGAGUGGCUAAUACCGCAUGAGAUCUACGGAUGAAAGCAGGGGAUCGCAAGACCUUGUGCUACUAGAGCGGCCGAUGUCAGAUUAGGUAGUUGGUGGGAUAAAAGCUUACCAAGCCGACGAUCUGUAGCUGGUCUGAGAGAACGAUCAGCCACACUGGGACUGAGACACGGCCCAGACUCCUACGGGAGGCAGCAGUGGGGAAUUUUGGACAAUGGGCGAAAGCCUGAUCCAGCAAUGCCGCGUGCAGGAUGAAGGCCUUCGGGUUGUAAACUGCUUUUGUACGGAACGAAAAGCCCCGGGUUAAUACCCUGGGGUCAUGACGGUACCGUAAGAAUAAGCACCGGCUAACUACGUGCCAGCAGCCGCCGUAA
Molecule: ribosomal RNA, 498 nt
Filed under: uncultured bacterium
Lineage: Bacteria
Description: partial 16S ribosomal RNA
Rfam family: Bacterial small subunit ribosomal RNA
Source: RNAcentral